UACGUAGGGAGCAAGCGUUGUCCGGAAUCAUUGGGCGUAAAGCGCGCGUAGGCGGCCCCGUAAGUCCGCUGUGAAAGUCAAAGGCUCAACCUUUGAAAGCCGGUGGAUACUGUGGGGCUAGAGUCCGGAAGAGGCGAGUGGAAUUCCCAGUGUAGUGGUGAAAUACGUAGAGAUUGGGAAGAACACCAGUGGCGAAGGCGGCUAUCUGGACGGUUUCUGACGCUAAGACGCGAAAGCGUGGGGAGCAAACAGG
Molecule: ribosomal RNA, 253 nt
Filed under: uncultured bacterium
Lineage: Bacteria
Description: partial 16S ribosomal RNA
Rfam family: Bacterial small subunit ribosomal RNA
Source: RNAcentral